RNAcentral lists this ribosomal RNA (497 nucleotides) under uncultured bacterium. Its description in RNAcentral is "partial 16S ribosomal RNA". It matches the Rfam family "Bacterial small subunit ribosomal RNA", at positions 28 to 507 of the family's 1533-position model. The record is from RNAcentral.
GAUGAACGCUGGCGGCGUGCCUAAUACAUGCAAGUCGAGCGAACAGACGAGGAGCUUGCUCCUCUGACGUUAGCGGCGGACGGGUGAGUAACACGUGGAUAACCUACCUAUAAGACUGGGAUAAUUUCGGGAAACCGGAGCUAAUACUGGAUAAUAUAUUGAACCGCAUGGUUCAAUAGUGAAAGACGGUUUUGCUGUCACUUAUAGAUGGAUCCGCGCCGCAUUAGCUAGUUGGUAAGGUAACGGCUUACCAAGGCGACGAUGCGUAGCCGACCUGAGAGGGUGAUCGGCCACACUGGAACUGAGACACGGUCCAGACUCCUACGGGAGGCAGCAGUAGGGAAUCUUCCGCAAUGGGCGAAAGCCUGACGGAGCAACGCCGCGUGAGUGAUGAAGGUCUUCGGAUCGUAAAACUCUGUUAUUAGGGAAGAACAAAUGUGUAAGUAACUAUGCACGUCUUGACGGUACCUAAUCAGAAAGCCACGGCUAACUACGUG